Molecule: long non-coding RNA, 1188 nt
Organism: Perca fluviatilis (European perch)
Lineage: Eukaryota; Metazoa; Chordata; Actinopteri; Perciformes; Percidae
Exons: 5
Source: RefSeq, a predicted model, not a curated record
AGGAGAACUUGUAGCUCUUCCAGAGCUGUAACCAAUGUUUCCCUUCAUAAGUUCAUAUUUAACUUGCAAGUAUCCAGAAGCAUGAUUUGACAUAUCUCACACAUGGGUUGAGAGCUGAGCAGACAGCCCUGACUUGAACAAGCCCUUUAAAUUCUCAUUUUAGAUCCCUUGUCUGUGGACUUGUUGGCAUGCCGGCCGCAUGGCUUAGUUUUGGGAUUAUGUCAACGCCUUCAGCAGAUGCUAUUGCAUUACAUAAAGAGAUAUGCCAUGCUGGAGAGAUUCCACUCACUCCUAAUGUGUGCAUUCUGGCCAUGGGCAACAACUUCACAUCCUGUCCUAUCACUGACAUGGCAACCAUGGAUUCUGGGAGCAUUCCCAAAGCUGCGUGGCAUCACUUGUCAAAGGUCUGAUAUCCCAGCGGAGGCACAGCAGGUUGUGUGACGGCAGAGAGGAACAGGAUGGAGCGGCUAUUUUUACCUGAAGCCCAGGAGUGAGCUCAACACAGAAGGUCUAUCUGCACAAAUGUGUGUGCAUGGUGAGGAUGCAGUCAAUCAGCAAACCAACGAGGGAGAACUGACGAAAGUGCAUGAGAAAAGGUGGAGAAGUGAUUUCUCCGACACGGAUCUGAGAUGAGGUUUGCAGCCAUAACCAGGCGCCACUGUAGGAGCUAAUUCAAACAGGCCCCAGCAAGUUUGAAGAAGGAAACAUGGAGGACCACAUGUAUUCAAAAUCCAGAUUUCAGGGACAGGAGUCUUUUUCUUCGCCCAGAAAAAGGAUAUUUAAAAGCAAGAGCAAAAGACCGGCUAUUUGAGGCGUCAAGGCUACCGUAUCUGUAAGACGUACUUUGAACUGCGUGGUUCGAGAAAGUUGAUUGCGAUAUAUGAUCUCAACGCUAGAUGGGAGAAAUUCCUACACAUUGGACCUUUUUUAAUGUUUGGAUAAAAUCAUCAAUCUAAAAUUUCAUUCAUGCGUCAUGCUCCGUCAUGGACGGAGUGACUACUUUUGUCUCCUGCAGUGGCUACUGUUGGUUGUGGUUGGAUUUGUUAGUGACAUCAAGGAGAUGAAGAAAAAAGCAGUAUUGGCGUUGCCUCUAAUUCAGCAGAGCAAGCUAGGCUAAGCAGCUAAGCUUGCUGGUAAGUUCGUGAAUUAAAAAGAAAGCUCUUGACAUCUCUAGCCUGUUUUACUCAG